GUAGUGACCUGCGGAGGAUCACUA
This 24-nucleotide ribosomal RNA is filed under the name Udeniomyces puniceus. RNAcentral describes it as "partial 18S ribosomal RNA". The record is from RNAcentral. Lineage: Eukaryota; Fungi; Basidiomycota; Tremellomycetes; Cystofilobasidiales; Mrakiaceae.